GCGACAAGACGUUGUUUGAAGAUCUUCAGUCCUAUUAAAAAUAAUUUCUGUGAUCAAGUCCAGCCAAACGCUAGUGACGGAUUCAGCCGGAGCUGUUCAGUAAAGACGCAAGUGAACAGUUGUUGAACUAAAAGAUGUUGUUGAAUUGAAUGACGAAAGACAGCUUGCUUAAUUCUUGUCAAACUCAUUUUAUAGGAAAAAUAGAGCUGUUUUUUUUUAAUGGAGAAGAGGAGAGAUGUGUGGUGUAGAUCACCCUAUUGUGGUGUAAAUGAGCGCACUCCACUGAGUUCCCCUUUGUCCAGCCCUGCAAUGACAGAUCAAACCUGAUCGGUGAGAGCCACUCACACAGGCAAGAGUUCCGGGCAGACUUUUCCUCCUUCUUCGGCUGACAGUUGGACCAAUCGGACGUGAGCCCACACUCCGCGCAGCGACUAACCUCGGCAGACGAUUCCCGAUAGGAAUGUCGGAUCACACAGGGCCAUUUAUGAAGUAAUUUAAUAUCUCAUGCGCAAGCAUGUUUGCCUCUGCCGUAAUACACAUACUGAUAUAACAUUAUUUUAUUGAGGCAACUGAUGGAGCGCCAAUGCUAUCAACCAUUUUUCGAACGACAAUCGAACUUUAUUAUACGACACUCUCUGUUUUGGUCACGGCACGUAUCACACAUCAUGCGGGUCGUUUGCAUUGAUAAGGCAUACAGGCAGGUAUACACACAUUUAUUACAGUAGCAGGAGCUUGUCCGAGAAAACCUUGCUGUUCUUCUUCUUUGAAGAUGGCUCAUGGUUUAGUGGUUUGGUACAAACUAAUUUACAAACGCGUGGAACGAACUCUACAAACACACCCGGC
Long non-coding RNA from Culex quinquefasciatus (southern house mosquito), 843 nucleotides. RefSeq lists it as uncharacterized. The transcript has 3 exons. NCBI's taxonomy places the organism in Eukaryota, Metazoa, Arthropoda, Insecta, Diptera, Culicidae. The record is from RefSeq and is a predicted model, not a curated record.